CUAAUUCGUGAGCAAAAGUCUUCCAUUUAAAUCUGUAAUCUGGUAAAAACUCUUCUUCAUGGUUCUAAAAUUGAUAAUUAUAGGAGGCGGGAAGAAGGAGCGUCUUACUAUUGGUCUUCAAGAAAGGAAAUCAGAAGGAAAGGAAGUUAACAAAGAUGGUAGCUAGCUAGGCUAGUGGUUAGUAAUCUCUGAAGUAAGGCUAGCUGGGCUAGUGGUUAGUAAUCUCUGAAGUAAGGCUAGCUAGGCUAGCGGUUAGUAAUCUCUGAAGUAAGGCUAGCUGGGCUAGCGGUUAGUAAUCUCUGAAGUAAGGCUAGCUGGGCUAGCGGUUAGUAAUCUCUGAAGUAAGGCUAGCUGGGCUAGCGGUUAAUAAUCUCUGAAGUAAGGCUAGCUAGGCUAGCGGUUAGUAAUCUCUGAAGUAAGGCUAGCUAGGCUAGCAAUUAGUAAUCUCUGAAGUAAGGCUAGCUGGGCUAGCGGUUAGUAAUCUCUGAAGUAAGGCUAGCUGGGCUAGCGGUUAGUAAUCUCUGAAGUAAGGCUAGCUAGACUAGCGGUUAGUAAUCUCUGAAGUAAAUUAAGGCUAGGCAAAUAACGUUAGUAAUCUCUGAAGUAAAGUAAAGUUAGCUAGGCUAGCGGUUAACGUUAGUAGUCUGAAGUAAAGUAGGCGAAUAACGUUAGUAGUCAAGUAGCUGAGUGACGUUGGUCAAAAUGAAGUGCAUUAAUGCUACCGGUCCGAUACAAAUACACUACACAUUUAAACUAUUUUCCUGACCGCUAUGGAGCUUUCAAAUCAAAUCAAAUCAAAGUUUAUUUGUCACGUGCGCCGAAUGCAACAGGUGUAGACCUUACAGUGAAUGCUUACUUACAGGCUCUAACCAAUAGUGCAAAAAUUGUAUUAGGUGAACAAUAGGUAAAUAAAGAAAUAAAACAACAGUAAAAAGACAGGCUAUAUACAGUAGAGAGGCAAUAAAAGUAGCGAGGUUACAUACAGACACCGGUUAGUCAGGCUGAUUGAGGUAGCAUGUACAUGUAGAUAUGGUUAAAGUGACUAUGCAUAUAUGAU
This 1057-nucleotide long non-coding RNA is filed under the name Salmo salar (Atlantic salmon). RNAcentral describes it as "lncRNA (ENSSSAG00000113704.1)". Lineage: Eukaryota; Metazoa; Chordata; Actinopteri; Salmoniformes; Salmonidae. The record is from RNAcentral.